RNAcentral lists this transfer RNA (106 nucleotides) under Pseudomonas putida. Its description in RNAcentral is "tRNA-OTHER". It matches the Rfam family "tRNA". Rfam says of the family: Transfer RNA (tRNA) molecules are approximately 80 nucleotides in length. Lineage: Bacteria; Pseudomonadati; Pseudomonadota; Gammaproteobacteria; Pseudomonadales; Pseudomonadaceae. The record is from RNAcentral.
GCGGAAAUAGCUCAGUGACUAGAGCGCUUGUUUAAUAUUGUCUGCUAUCCCCAGCUUGGUAAUAUUGGAUAAGAGGACGGCAGUUCAAUUCUGUCUUUCUGCACCA